Molecule: ribosomal RNA, 111 nt
Filed under: Chinchilla lanigera (long-tailed chinchilla)
Lineage: Eukaryota; Metazoa; Chordata; Mammalia; Rodentia; Chinchillidae
Source: RNAcentral
GCCAUAGCACCCUGGUCACACCCAGUCUCCUCUGCUCUCAGAAGCUAAGCAGGGUCGAGCCUGUUUAGCACUCAGAUGGGGGACAAUUGUGGUGAAGAGGUACAAAGCAAA